RNAcentral lists this ribosomal RNA (252 nucleotides) under Paenibacillus glycanilyticus. RNAcentral's name for it is "partial 16S ribosomal RNA". It matches the Rfam family "Bacterial small subunit ribosomal RNA", at positions 524 to 776 of the family's 1533-position model. RNAcentral also lists the same sequence under 1 other name. Lineage: Bacteria; Bacillati; Bacillota; Bacilli; Caryophanales; Paenibacillaceae. The record is from RNAcentral.
UACGUAGGUGGCAAGCGUUGUCCGGAAUUAUUGGGCGUAAAGCGCGCGCAGGCGGCCUUGUAAGUCUGUCGUUUAAACUCGGAGCUCAACUUCGAGUCGCGAUGGAAACUGCAAAGCUUGAGUGCAGAAGAGGAAAGUGGAAUUCCACGUGUAGCGGUGAAAUGCGUAGAGAUGUGGAGGAACACCAGUGGCGAAGGCGACUUUCUGGGCUGUAACUGACGCUGAGGCGCGAAAGCGUGGGGAGCAAACAGG